AGUAAAGUCAGCUAAUAAAGCUCUUGGGCCCAUACCCCAACCAUGUUGGUUAAAAUCCUUCCUUUACUA
Molecule: transfer RNA, 69 nt
Filed under: Carcharias taurus (sand tiger shark)
Lineage: Eukaryota; Metazoa; Chordata; Chondrichthyes; Lamniformes; Carchariidae
Description: tRNA-Met
Rfam family: tRNA
About the family: Transfer RNA (tRNA) molecules are approximately 80 nucleotides in length. Their secondary structure includes four short double-helical elements and three loops (D, anti-codon, and T loops). Further hydrogen bonds mediate the characteristic L-shaped molecular structure. tRNAs have two regions of fundamental functional importance: the anti-codon, which is responsible for specific mRNA codon recognition, and the 3' end, to which the tRNAs corresponding amino acid is attached (by aminoacyl-tRNA synthetases). tRNAs cope with the degeneracy of the genetic code in two manners: having more than one tRNA (with a specific anti-codon) for a particular amino acid; and 'wobble' base-pairing, i.e. permitting non-standard base-pairing at the 3rd anti-codon position.
Source: RNAcentral